RNAcentral lists this ribosomal RNA (478 nucleotides) under uncultured bacterium. Its description in RNAcentral is "partial 16S ribosomal RNA". It matches the Rfam family "Bacterial small subunit ribosomal RNA", at positions 28 to 523 of the family's 1533-position model. The record is from RNAcentral.
GACGAACGCUGGCGGCAUGCUUAACACAUGCAAGUCGAACGGUAAGGCCCUUCGGGGUACACGAGUGGCGAACGGGUGAGUAACACGUGGGUGAUCUGCCCUGCACUUCGGGAUAAGACUGGGAAACUGGGUCUAAUACCGGAUAGGACCACUGCCUGCAUGGGUGGUGGUGGAAAGCUUUUGCGGUGUGGGAUGGGCCCGCGGCCUAUCAGCUUGUUGGUGGGGUGAUGGCCUACCAAGGCGACGACGGGUAGCCGGCCUGAGAGGGUGACCGGCCACACUGGGACUGAGAUACGGCCCAGACUCCUACGGGAGGCAGCAGUGGGGAAUAUUGCACAAUGGGCGCAAGCCUGAUGCAGCGACGCCGCGUGAGGGAUGACGGCCUUCGGGUUGUAAACCUCUUUCAGCACCGACGAAGCGCAAGUGACGGUAGGUGCAGAAGAAGGACCGGCCAACUACGUGCCAGCAGCCGCCGUAA